RNAcentral lists this ribosomal RNA (793 nucleotides) under uncultured archaeon. RNAcentral describes it as "bacterial SSU rRNA". It matches the Rfam family "Archaeal small subunit ribosomal RNA", at positions 85 to 879 of the family's 1478-position model. The record is from RNAcentral.
ACGGCUCAGUAACACGUAGUCAACUUACCCUAUGGACGAGGAUAAUCUCGGGAAACUGAGCAUAAUACUCGAUAGAUCAUAAUGCCUGGAACGGUUUAUGGUUGAAAUGAUUCGUCGCCAUAGGAUGGGACUGCGGCCUAUCAGCUUGUUGGUGAGGUAAUGGCCCACCAAGGCGAUUACAGGUACGGGCUCUGAGAGGAGAAGCCCGGAGAUGGGUACUGAGACAAGGACCCAGGCCCUAUGGGGCGCAGCAGGCGAGAAAACUUUGCAAUGUGCGAAAGCACGACAAGGUUAAUCCGAGUGAUUUCUGCUAAAGAAAUCUUUUGCAAGUCAUAAAACCACUAGUGAAUAAGGGGUGGGCAAGUUCUGGUGUCAGCCGCCGCGGUAAAACCAGCACCUCAAGUGGUCAGGAGGAUUAUUGGGCCUAAAGCAUCCGUAGCCGGCUCUGUAAGUUUUCGGUUAAAUCCAUGUGCUCAACGCAUGGGCUGCCGAAAAUACUGCAUAGCUAGGGAGUGGGAGAGGUAGACGGUACUCGGUAGGAAGGGGUAAAAUCCUUUGAUCUAUCGAUGACCACCUGUGGCGAAGGCGGUCUACCAGAACACGUUCGACGGUGAGGGAUGAAAGCUGGGGGAGCAAACCGGAUUAGAUACCCGGGUAGUCCCAGCUGUAAACGAUGCAGACUCGAUGAUGCAUUGGCAUAUAGCCAGUGCAGUGUCGCAGGGAAGCCGUUAAGUCUGCCGCCUGGGAAGUACGUACGCAAGUAUGAAACUUAAAGGAAUUGGCGGGGGAGCAC